Molecule: long non-coding RNA, 3940 nt
Organism: Gallus gallus (chicken)
Lineage: Eukaryota; Metazoa; Chordata; Aves; Galliformes; Phasianidae
Source: Ensembl
GCCAGCUUCCCCGUGGGCUUUGAAGAUGCAAACUCCAAUCCUAUCAGUACGGGUUGGUUUCUGCCUGCUCCCGGUGCUUUAAAAGUAUGACUGGGGAGAAGGAAGCGCGUGAGGGUGGCUGUCAUGCCGUGGUCCUGCUGGCUGCUGGCUGCUGCUCUUUGCCAUGGCAACAGUUGUGUUGUCUUUAUUGCUUUCAAUCUUUUCACAUUCUUGCUGUGCUUCCUCUUGAUUUGCUGACACAGGCUGUCACUUAGCAGUAAUAAAGCUGUCAAUGGUAUCAGCGACCAAUCUUUUAAUAUGGUAUCAGAAAGUCUGACAAGAGCAUAGGGGUGCCGGAUUUCCAAUGACAAGUUAAUUUAUUCAAAGCACUCUGAACAUUAUUUCCAUUCCUAUGGCACGCAAAUGAUGCCCAGCAAGGCUGGUGUCUGCUGGAUGGGAUGCAGACGGCGGAAGAAUUUGGCACGCGGUGAUCCUGUAGGUAUUCCAUGGGCUGAAAGCAGAAUUAACUCACUAGUGCGAGGGGAAGAUGCAGAUCCAUGCCCUUGUAUCCUCUCAGAGAUCUCCCCUAUUGCCAGAGGAAAAGCUCCAGCUGUAGUGCAGAGGCCUGGCAUCACUUUACCUCUUGGAGCACAUUAGAUUGUGUGAGAGGAUCAGCAUUGCUUCUGGUGGUGGUUUAAUUAUGGACAUUUGAGAAGCACAGUUUUCUGACUGCUUUGACCAAUCAUAAAGUCAGCACUUCAAAGAAAGAUCUUCAGAUACUAGAUGUAACCUUUUCAUCUCAGCACAGCAAAGCCAAGGAAUCGGGAUACGAGACAGCUCCUGAAGCUAGGUGCUCACCCCGGGCUCUGCAUUGUGUGUCCAGCCACUGGAAGGAGCAGCUUUCACUUCAGGCUUUUCAGUAGGACCCAACCUUCAUCUGCUGUGGGAGUUUUUUUCAGCCUCAGAACAAAGCAAACCCCUUUUGAACUCUGAGAGUCUUCUCCAGGAUAGAAGAGUCCCCAAGUGUUAAUGCACAACAUAUUAAUACAGGGGAAAAAGAUUCCUUAGUCUCUUUUUAAAUGUUGUGUUUCUGUUGGAAGUUUCCAAAGGAAAUCUACCUGAGAGAAAUACCGAGGAUAGAAAGUAAAACUGGGUAUAAUAAUUUGCAAUAGUAAAUCUGAGGAUAUUUUUAGCUGCAUGCAUUGCUAUCCGUGGAGCCUAUCAAAACAAGAGCCCGUUUCAUCCCUCCUGUGUUUGAUGGUUCGUGUGAGAUGUUUGUGGACCAAUAUUGCAGUCAGAAAAAUGCAACCUCUUGUGAGAUGGUCACAGCACUGGGCAACAUUUCUGUUCAAGAAAUGAAAAUAGAAAAAUGCAUCAAGUGCAUCUUUGGAGUAAACUUUAGGUAGGCAGUUAAAUAUUCAGCUGGAAUGCAUUCAGGAUUACAGCCGUCUGUGGAAAACAAGUACAAUCAACCUAAAAUGCUGGAAGAGACUUUUCAUUUCUCUUUUCAUAUUUUGUUCAAAAAUAUUAAAGCAAUUCAGAGGAAAUAAUUCAAGUCUGUAAAAAUCUGUAUUGAAAGAAAAGAAAAUCACAUAACAGCUGUAGCUGAAACAAUGCUUUUGACGUAGAACACUUCUGAGAUAAUUAAGCUAAAUAUUCAGACUGUGUGUGUGUGCCUCUAGGCAAGCAUUUAAUCAUCUGUUUUUUUUGUUGUUACUGUAAGGGUAGUUAUUUAUGGUAAUUUGCCAGUGAUGAGUGGAAAGCAGUGCUGCUAAUCUUCAUCUUCCUUCCCUGUUCUGCUAGGCGUGCUGAAAUGCAGAUAACACACUCUGGUGUAUUAAUCUUGUGAAAGGAUUUAUGGUCACUGUUCUUACUGAUGCUAAUGGAGAUAACGUACAUUCACAAAUCUUGCAAGCCUCCAGAUGGUAGCCUGCUUUCUAGCAAAAGAUUUGGUUGGAUAAUAUUGAGAAAUUUACAAUUAUUUGCUACUAACUGGAGGUUCCCUGGAUAACCCAUGUAAUCUGAAGAUGCUUUGGUAAAAAUAACCAGGUUAUAGAGUAUGGCAAGUGGUUUCUCUCCAUGGUCCAAAUUCCACAAUAGCAGGCCUACUCUACCCAGAGGCUAACAUCCCAGCCUGGCACCCUGGUCUAUUCUUUGUGAGGCAGGCAAUGGAAAGCAACCAGGACAAACAGAUCUCCCUGGCAGCAGGCUAAGCAACUGCCAAGAGAUUAUAGCAGAUCCUUGCCAUGAGCUCAUCCAUAUGUAAACUCAUGCACACUUUUCCUGCCCUGCUGAAGAUGCUCUCAGGAGGAAAGGACUGAACUCUAAUCUCAGUAGUGAUGUGUCCUGGUCCAGGCCGUACUGCGGCCCACUCUCGGCCCUGUGCCAUCAUAGCAGCAGCUCUUCCUGCCCUCACCUGGCCCUGGGUGCACACGCAUAGCUAACAACGAAACAUCAUUGUGUGACUGGCACUGUCUGGGCUGGAGCCAGGGCACACAGGGGGUGCAGUGCAGUGCUAACUCAAGUUAUGGGAAAUAACAGUAUGCGUUGUGAUACACUGGCUAAACACAGUCCUGUGAACAGACAAAAAUAUGCCGCCGUGCUUUCCAUUCGGAUACAGGAAAUUGGGAAUAGGUAUUGAGAUUGCUGAAAACGCAAUCAAUUUGUGUUUGUGACUCCAUUUUCAGUCUCUAUAAAUACAUUACCUGCAAAUUCUCAAAUGCAUGCAUAGAGCUGCAAUCAGAUAUUCAACUCAAAAAUCUGAUCUUGUCACUUUACCAGACUUUUCUAAGCCCUCUCUUACCAGAGCAAACUACCCCUCUCUUGACAAUCACACCUUGUUCAUGUCAUAGCUUUUUGGCAGUAUGUACAUUUGUGAACAGUUGUCAAGGAUGAAGUACAGGAAGAGUAAAAUUUCAUAAAAAAUCAGUGAAGAACACCUGAGACCUCACCACAAAUUGCAACCACUGCCAUCAAACCAGGCAGAUGCAUUAGUUACACAAAAACGUGGUCAUAUAUCCCACUAGUUUUAUGGUUUUGUUGUUCUUUUUUAAUGUUUUAAUAAAAAUACUAAAAAAUAACUUUUUAUUACUUAUAUAUUAACUAUUGUAUAUUUUACAAGGGCUCUGAAAGUAAUGUCUCCUGUUUUAUGAUGUUGUCCACGAUGUCCGAAGAGGAUGUUGUUGGUAUGGCAGUAGAGGUUGUACCUUCCCACCAAUAUUCCUUAAGUGUUGUUGCUGUGUGACAGAGGCAGCAGAGGUGCAGUCUGACAAAAUGGUGCCUGACAUGGAAGUGUGUAUGGAACAAAGCUGUCACUGAAUUCCUACACAGUGGUACUCAUUGGCAUUCAUUGAUGCUUGCUAAAUGUUUAUGGAGACCAAACAGUGAAUGUAAGCAAAGUGAAGUGGUGCAUUUCAGCAAUGGUGACAGUGACCAUGGGUCUCCUCCACUGAUGCAAGUUUUGUCAGUUGCACCAUGAAGACUUGUGUUCAUCACUGGCAAAAAUGCAUUGCUAGUGGCAGUAACUAUGUUGAAAAACAGUGUUUUGUGGUUGAGAAUUUGCUCUAUCAAGUAGUAGUGUUGUGCCCUUUGUAUCUGUUGUAGUUUCUAUGCAAAUACAACAGAAGGUGUUACUUUCGAAGCAACCUAUGUAUAUGUAUAUUCCUCUUCACUCAAUGCAGCCCAGGCAAGCCAAAAGAUUGCUUAGAGCUUCCUGGGUUGGGAUGGUCCUGAAGCACAGUCUCUACAGAUGCCUGAACCUCUAGCUUCUCAUCCAGGAGAACAGGCGUGGACCAUGCAUGAGGUAGCUGAACUGCAGUGAAACCCACAGCUUUGUCGUUUGCUUCUUCAGGCAGAUAAGUGAAUCAACAAAUAUCUUUGAUUCAACCACUAAACAGUAUCUUUAUAGCAAUACUUUUUAAUGUCUGUAAGCCUAAUUAAUUUCUUAAGUAUAUAGUUUUUG